Camellia sinensis is the source of this 1225-nucleotide non-coding RNA. The record is from RefSeq and is a predicted model, not a curated record. Lineage: Eukaryota; Viridiplantae; Streptophyta; Magnoliopsida; Ericales; Theaceae.
GGUGUUAUUCAUCUACACUUGCUUAUGAAAGGCAAACCAACUCUUGUUUAUGCUUCGUCUGUUGCGUUAGGUGUAGUUAAUAUUAGCAACUCAUGGAUUUUUGUGCCAGAAGUAAAAAUUAAAAAAAUGUUAGUACAGAGAGCUUAUCUUAUAAUUCAAGUGAUUAAGAAUGAAUAAAAACACAAACAGUAAUGUUAUGUCACUAAGGCAACAACCCAACCAAAAUUCCAUAACUUUUUUCUUCCAUAUCUUCUAGUAUCAACUUUAGUUUUUUACCUAACAAGCUCGAGUUAGCUUUUUGAAAGUGAACACUGAAUAUCGGAUAGAUGUUACAAAAGCAAUACUUUGUCUGUUCCUUGUUCUUGUCCAAAACAAUUGCAUUGAAGAAUAACAUAAUCCCUUCCCAUAUGUUAGUUUAACCAUACUUUGUUUUUGUUUUUGUUUUUUUUCAACCUCAUUGGCCAGCAUUUCUUAUGGUUAAAUCAGACACUAUUAAUUCCUAAGCAUUUCUUAUGGUUAAAUCAGACACUAUUAAUGUUUGCUAAGCAUGAAUAAUAAAACUUAUGAUUGAUAUGCUUCUGUAGGUUGUCUGGUACCUAGAAACAAAGAUGGCAUGGCAUCUAAAAACGCAUGUUUGAAGAGAAUAUUAGACCUGUUAAUACUUUAAAGUUAGAAAAUUCAGCUUUUGGGAAAUGCUACUUUAAAGUUAGAAAAUUCAGUUAGAAUAUUAGACCUGCUACUAGAUUAUGGUGCUUUCUCUACCAGUUAUUAUGUUCUCUCUAGGAUAAGUAAAUAGGAAAAUCAAUGUCUUCGGUUGCUUUGUUACAAUGUAGAUAUAAAAUGACUGUAUUUAAUUUCAUGAGCAAUUGUAGAAAAAACUUAAAGAGCGGGAGAACGAAGCUAUAGAAGAUGGAUCUGGCCCACUAUCUGAUGAGCAGCUUUCCAUUGAGGUGUUUGGACGGAUGUCCAAAGGGUGUCACACCUAAGUACAGCUUGAAGCCUCUUGUGUCAAGCCUGUCUGAUAUAAAGCCUGAUAUUGAUGUUGAGAAAAUACUUUUUUAGAUAUUUUCUUUGUAGAAACUAUUGUAUUGUUGCUAUUCUUCAUUUGAACUGUUACUACUUUGAUCUGAAUUUGGAAACUUUUAGUUUUAAUUUUUGUCAAAUUUACUUUCUAUAUACUCAUUAUGGUUUGGGAAUAGAGUGGGUUUGAUAUGUGGAUGUCAAA